This 398-nucleotide ribosomal RNA is filed under the name uncultured bacterium. RNAcentral's name for it is "bacterial SSU rRNA". It matches the Rfam family "Bacterial small subunit ribosomal RNA", at positions 32 to 415 of the family's 1533-position model. The record is from RNAcentral.
AAUCAACGCUGGCGGCGUGCCUAACACAUGCAAGUCGAACGCGAAAGGGGAGCAAUCCCUGAUUAGAGUGGCAAACGGGUGAGUAACACGUGGGUGACCUGCCUUCGAGUGGGGGAUAACCUUCCGAAGGAGGGCUAAUACCGCAUGACAUACCGUGUUUGGAUACACGGAUAUCAAAGCCGGGGAUCGCAAGACCUGGCGCUUGAAGAGGGGCUCGCGUCCGAUUAGCUAGUUGGGGGGUAACGGCUCACCAAGGCUCCGAUCGGUAUCCGGCCUGAGAGGGCGGACGGACACACUGGAACUGAGACACGGUCCAGACUCCUACGGGAGGCAGCAGUGGGGAAUUGUUCGCAAUGGGCGAAAGCCUGACGACGCAACGCCGCGUGGAGGAUGAAGAA